This 946-nucleotide long non-coding RNA is filed under the name Citrus x clementina. Its description in RNAcentral is "Citrus clementina (C. clementina) long non-coding RNA (CCLE_LNC004997)". The record is from RNAcentral. Lineage: Eukaryota; Viridiplantae; Streptophyta; Magnoliopsida; Sapindales; Rutaceae.
GAGGCCCCUCGCAAAGUCUCGCGGCAUUCCGAGUCCGGCGGACGAAGUGGGCCAGCCCCACCCCCCAAGGCUAUAGCCCACCCGUUUUUGUGGCCUUUUUCCGCUGAACGAACUUGGCGUCCCGGCCUUCGGGCGGUUAUUUUUGGGCGCGGCUUUGUCCGCGGCCUAUUUUUGGCACACGGAGGCCGCUCAUAAAGUCUCGCGGCAUUCCGAGUCCGGCGGACAAAGUAGGCCAGCCCCACCCCCCAAGGCUAUAGCCCACCCGUUUUUGUGGCCUUUUUCCGCUGGACGAAUUUGGCGCCCCGGCCUUCGGGCGGUUAUUUUCGGGGAGGGCUUUGCCCGUGGCCUAUUUUUAUCACACGGAGGCCCCUCGCAAAGUCUCGCGGCAUUCCGAGUCCGGCGGACGAAGUUGGCCAGCCCCACCCCCCAAGGCUAUAGCCCACCCGUUUUUGUGACGUUUUUCCGCUGGACGAACUUGGCGCCCCGGCCUUCGGUUGGUUAUUUUUGGGUGUGGCAUUGGCCGCGGCCUAUUUUUGGCACACGGAGGCCCCUCGCAAAGUCUCACGGCAUUCCGAGUUCGGCGGACGAAGUUGGCCAGCCCCACCCCCCAAGGCUAUAGCCUACCCGUUUUUGUGGCCUUUUCUCGUUGGACGAACUUGGCGCCCCGGCCUUCGGGCGGUUAUUUUUGGGCAAGGCUUUGCCCGUGGCUUAUUUUUAUCACAAGGAGGCCCCUCGCAAAGUCUCGCGGCAUUCCGAGUCCGGCGGACGAAGUUGGCCAGCCCCACCCCCCAAGGCUAUAGCCCACCCGUUUUUGUGGCCUUUUUCCGCUGGACGAACUUGGCGCCCCGGUCUUCGGGCGGUUAUUUUUUGGCAAGGCUUUACCCGCGACCUAUUUUUGGCACACGGAGGCCCCUCGCAAAGGCUCGCGGUAUUCCGAGUCCGGCGG